Molecule: unclassified non-coding RNA, 2547 nt
Filed under: Hermetia illucens (black soldier fly)
Lineage: Eukaryota; Metazoa; Arthropoda; Insecta; Diptera; Stratiomyidae
Description: transcription factor Adf-1-like, transcript variant X1
Source: RNAcentral
UUCGACACUGAAACACUCAGAUUAUUCGAAGAAAAUUUGGGCACCAACAAAGAUUUCACAUCCGUCGAAAAUCUAUGCUCUUUUCUACUGAAGAGAUAUCAACUGUUAUCCACAAUAAAACAAAAGCCCACAAUUUUCGAAAACAAAAAUAAUUUUACUCACCCGCAACAAAAAAAAAAUCGUUUCUCGUAUCUGCUACCGCAAAACCCAAUUGCAUUCUCUGUAAGGGUAAACAUAGACUAUUUGCUUGCGAGAAAUUCAAGCAAUUCGAGGUCGAAAAACGAAUUGAUUUUGCAAACAGCAAAAAUUUAUGUCUAAACUGCUUGUCACAUGGAAACAGUUUACAAUGCAAAAGUAAAUUGCAUUGUUUCGAGUGCAAUGGCCCGCAUCAUACAUUGCUUCAUAAAAAUUCUCCAAUAAAUUCUAAUUUUGCAACUAAACAAAAAAAUUCGCAAAAAACAUAUACGGUCAUACUAGCCACUGCACUAAUCAAGGUGAACAAUAAGACCGGCGGUCAAGUUACCAUCCGAACGUUAAUUGACCCCGGUUCACAAAUUUCAUUUAUAACCCAAGCCGCAGCAAAUAAGCUGGGAUUGCAAAAAUACAAUGUAUUGGCAAAAAUCACAGGUAUUGGCGGCAUACAUGCUGCUACAAUAAGAAAAAAGAUUAAUGUGCACAUUUCGUCAACGUACGAAAAUAAGUUUAACUUAUCCACUGAUAUGCACAUAAUGCCGUCAUUGAACAUGACACUGCCAGAAAAAUCCAUGAAGUUGGAAAGACCGACAUGGGUCAAUACUCUGCAACUUGCAGAUCCGAACUUUGAAAAUUCAAUGAAUAUCGAUGCAAUACUAGGGGCCGAUGUGUAUGAGCACAUCGUUGAGCCCGAAAUUAAAAAAGGAGAAGUUCUUCUUGCCCAGAAAACCAAGCUGGGCUGGGUUUUAUUGGGAAAAAUGCCAAUAAUAACAAAUAACUUGAUCAAGGCAUCAACUAAGGUGCUGGUUAUAGCCUUUCAAGUACUUGAUCAAGUAUUUUUUUCAAUUCACUACAGAAGCUAAGGUAAUAAACUUAAGCUUGUCAAAUAUGAACUAAAGUAUGCGUAUUUAACUAUACUAACGAUUUCAAUCGAAAAAAAAUCCAGACAUAUCACACACAAUAUAAUAAAUCCAAUUUGGUUUUUUCUUGAUUAGAAAAUCAUUUUCCUGAUCAGCUGAUUAUUUUUGAAUGUUUCCUUUUUCAACCGUUCCACUGAUAGUGUACCUGUCAAGAAAGUUUUACUGAUCGUUUAUAACCUCAAAGCGUUUUCGGGAUUAUUAUUUUCUUAAACGUUUUCGGCAAAAAAAUAUCGAAAUAGAUCGGAAAAAUAGGAAGCGUCGAUCACAAGAGGCCCGAAAUAUUAAAAUUGAAUUCGAAACCAUACUCAUAAUGGAAGUCGAAAGCCGUCAAUGCUUAUAUGCAAAAGACAAAGAAGAUUACAAAAAUAAAACGAAGCGCGAAGACGCGUGGAAGGACAUCUCCAGCAUUCUAAAUAGAAGUGUUUCAGAAUGUCAAUCGAAAUGGAAUAUACUUCGAGACAGUUUUCGCGGCUACUAUCGUUCGUUAUGCAAUACUCCAAGUGGAUCGGGGGCAACAGAGACCGUAAAAUGGCCACACUUCAAAGCGAUGAUGUUUUUGAUUCCAUAUAUUCGUGUGCCAGAAGAUGAUUGUGGGAAUCACUCGAACAACUCGCCAGAACUAUCCGCUAAUACGAUUUUGCAAAGCGAAGACAACUCUCGUGACUCCGAAUACCACCAACCAGGCAAUUUGUUUGCAAAUAAUAAUAGCAAAAGAAAGAGAGAUUGUUUCGACGAAUCACCGAUGGUCGAAUCAAUGGAUCAAUUUUUUGGAGAAGAAGGUUAAAUGCACUUCGACUCAUACGGAAGUAUUCAAAAAAUUUCAUGGGGUAUUUCACCAAUCUGUUUAUUAACGUGAAAUAUUUACCGUAUUUUCUUCUUUCCAUAUUUAGCGGAUGUACUUGAUACUUCCUGGCUCUUUUAUAUUUUCUUCGAAAACAACAGAGAAUUGCUAAGUACUUGGAACCACAACAGUUCUUUUCAACUGACAGAAAAUUGACAAGCUAUAACCGGCAUUCAAGUAAAAUGAUCAACAAUUGCACUUUUCCAUUUGUUCCAGAAAUUUUUGUCAAGUUCUUGAAAGGCUAUAACCAGCGCCUAAGACUAAACAGAACAGACCCGCUCCAGUUAGCAAACAACAGACCACAAAGAACAUGGGUGGCGGCCAAACCAAACAAGUCGACAAUACCGGCGAGGUGAUAAAUUCAGUAAUAGUUAACCCGGUAGACGUCCAGUCAAAACAAAUUGAACUUAUCUUAAUCAUAUUAACAUCGCUUGUCGGCAUUUCCUUUGGAUAUCAGAUCUAUAAGGACUAUCGCAGGAGCCUGAAAAAGAGAUACAUAUCCAACAUAUCCAACAUAAUCAGCUCGGGCAGUGCUAAAUCUCCACAGGUAUAACCCUGAAUCUUGAGAAAUGAUGCUUUGAGGCCAUUUUUAAA